RNAcentral lists this unclassified non-coding RNA (854 nucleotides) under uncultured fungus. RNAcentral describes it as "sequence contains 18S rRNA gene, ITS1, 5.8S rRNA gene, ITS2, 28S rRNA gene". The record is from RNAcentral. Lineage: Eukaryota; Fungi.
CUCCACCACCCAACCUAUACGCCCGGAGGCUCGCGUUUUUAAGUCGUCCCCGGUCGAGACGAUACCCGAAUGACAAAGGAAAGUUAACCCCGCACCCAACGGCACCGCAUCUGCGGCGUGAUGACAGUUCCGCUCGGCCGAUAUUCCGUCGCGUACCAGUCAACGCAGUGACGCACGGCGCCGGGACCGGGCCACGAAUAAUCGCCAGGCCGCGGAUAAUCGUAGGCCGCUGGCCGAUCCGGAGUGACCCGAAUCCGCGGCCGCUGACGGGUUUGUGACGAAAACUCGGUGCUCUUGGCGCCUGUUUCGCCGGAUGAAAGCGGGGCGACGGGAGUCACACCCAGCACGAGCAAACCGGCGGCAAGGAUAACGAAUUGAUACGCGGUCAUGCUCGAACGCUCUCUCAUCCGGCGUGGAAGGUCAACCAUUUGUGUCCCGGCGCCGGGCGGGCCUAUGGUGGCGCGGUGGAACCCGGAUCGCGACAGGACACGCGACAACACGCCGCGCUCGCCGAUCUCGCGCGUCUGGCGCGCGAGGGCGACGCGCUAGGCGGCCUGACCGGACGCGCCGGCGCUCAUUUCGGCGCGGCCGACGCUCCGGUAGACGACAGGAUCGAGUUGUGGGGCCGCCGCAUCGGCCGCACGCUCAGCGCCAUCGCGUUUGUGGCGUUGUGUGUCUAUCUCUAUGUCGCCUAUGUCCGCUGAUAUCCCAGCAAGCCCCCUCGCCGAUCCGCUGGCCUGGCGUCAGGUCACGGCGCUCUCGCUCGACGAGAUGGAAACCAUCGCGGCCGACGCGUUCCAGCGCUUGCCCGAGACCUUCCGUUCGCUGUGCGAGGGCGUGAUCAUCCGCGUCGA